RNAcentral lists this long non-coding RNA (294 nucleotides) under Phasianus colchicus (ring-necked pheasant). RNAcentral's name for it is "lncRNA (ENSPCLG00000011136.1)". The record is from RNAcentral. Lineage: Eukaryota; Metazoa; Chordata; Aves; Galliformes; Phasianidae.
AGAUAAGAAACAUUUAUAUAGAUGCUGCUGUUACACGCAGGUAUGGAAGUAAGAGGAAGAAUGGUCAGAAGUCCUCCCAUUGCUGUGGUCCUUCUGGUGAUGCCCUCAGCCAUAGCAUGCAGGAUCCGUACGAAAGGUGUUAUUCCAGUUUUCUUCCUGGUUCCAGUGAUCAUUGUUGUUAGUGUUUCAGAUCACCAGAUGGAAAAAAUAGGUGCAACAUGAGAGCUUAAAGAAGAGAGAUGCUGGGAAGCCAUCAUACCUUUCCUGGCUGUUCCAUGUCACAUUGCUCUGUUU